CAGUAAUGGCGAAUGAAGAGGGAACAGCUCAAUUUUGUAAUCUCCGUUGCCUUGCAACGGCGAAUUGUAGUUUCGAGAAGUACCUUCCCGGCGAAUCGACCUUGCCUGAGUUGCUUGGAACAGCACGUCAAAGAGGGUGACAACCCCGUACGUGGCAAGGUCGGUCGCUCGCGAUGUACUUUCAAAGAGUCGGGUUGCUUGGGAAUGCAGCCCAAAAUGGGUGGUAAACUCCAUCUAAAGCUAAAUAUUGGCACGAGACCGAUAGCGAACAAGUACCGUGAGGGAAAGAUGAAAAGGACUUUGAAAAGAGAGUUAAAGAGUACGUGAAACCGUUGAAAGGGAAGCGAAUGGAGUUAGCAAUUCGCCAGGUCAGAUUCAGCUUCGCCGCGUGCCGCGACGCUCGCGAUCUCGAUCUUUGUAGACGAGUCGUGUGCGGACGCGGCUCGGGGCGGGCGCACUUCUGGCGGGUGAGCGUCAACGUCGGUCUCGGCCGCGCUACAAGGUCGUCGGGAAGGUGGGCUCGCCUUCGGGCGAGCUGUUAAGCCCGGCGAACGCAUCGCGCGGCUGGGACCGUGGCAAAUCGUCGCGACGCGUGCCUACCCCUCGGGGCUGGCUGGUGUCCCGUGCGGUUGGUCCGGUUGUCGAUCGUGGCGGACGGCACGCCUGUGCGCUCAAACUGCUGCCGGUCAACAGCUCGGUGAUCACACACCACGCGUCAAGGACGUUGACGACCAUACGGCUCUAUCCGACCCGUCUUGAAACACGGACC
RNAcentral lists this ribosomal RNA (769 nucleotides) under Virgularia juncea. RNAcentral describes it as "LSU rRNA". It matches the Rfam family "Eukaryotic large subunit ribosomal RNA", at positions 81 to 667 of the family's 3401-position model. Lineage: Eukaryota; Metazoa; Cnidaria; Anthozoa; Scleralcyonacea; Virgulariidae. The record is from RNAcentral.